UCCACCGUGAGGUGGAAUCUGAAGGAAGCUGAAAGCAAAUUGAAUAUAGUAAAACGGGAUAGAACUUUUAUAGUAGUGACUCGAGAUUGCUGGAUAUAGUCUCUAUUGCUAGUAAAAUGAGAUUUUAGC
This is a non-coding RNA of Trichococcus sp., 129 nucleotides long. The record is from Rfam. NCBI's taxonomy places the organism in Bacteria, Bacillati, Bacillota, Bacilli, Lactobacillales, Carnobacteriaceae.